Molecule: long non-coding RNA, 557 nt
Organism: Mesocricetus auratus (golden hamster)
Lineage: Eukaryota; Metazoa; Chordata; Mammalia; Rodentia; Cricetidae
Exons: 2
Source: RefSeq, a predicted model, not a curated record
AACACCAUAAGCAAAGGCCCGAUACUGUGUUAAGCAACAAUGAGUUUGUUUGUCCUGGAAGCCUGUCUGCUAGGGGACAGUGACUACAUUCCAGGGACUUAGAGAGGAAAGGCUGAAAUGCUGAGGACAUCAAACUUGCUGCUGCCUGCAGUGGGAGCCACUGUAGAUCCUGGAGGACAGAGAUCUAGUGUCUGCUCUGCUGUGUGCUAAGGACUCUGAAGAUUACACCAAGUGCCAUCCUUGCUAAGGAAGACCCCACAGGAAAGCAGACAGUGGGGCAAAAAUAAGAUGGGAUGUUUAUUGUUUCCUUGCCAUGCUGAGCUGGAAUUCUUAAACUGUGGGGAACCUGGAAUCUACUAGGUUCGUGUGAAGAGUGCCCAGCCACCACCCCUCCGGGCUGCUGUCGCUAGUCCUUAGGUGCCCCUCAUGUAGUUUUCCUGGAAGAAAAUACAGGCUGAAUUUCAGAUAAUGAAUAUCAUAGUAUAACUAUGUUUCAAAUGUUAUAACUUUAAGAAUAACUUACAGGACAUACCCUAGAAUAUUUAUUUAUAUGAAAU